Paramisgurnus dabryanus is the source of this 1431-nucleotide long non-coding RNA. RefSeq lists it as uncharacterized. Lineage: Eukaryota; Metazoa; Chordata; Actinopteri; Cypriniformes; Cobitidae. The record is from RefSeq and is a predicted model, not a curated record.
UGAAAAAAGUGAUUUUGGAGAGUGGUAAAUAUAAUCUGUGGAAACCAUAUAAAAUGUACAUGAUUAUUGCAGCUAGCCAACGAAUACUAACGUAAUGGGUAAAUUCUACAUAUGCUACCCAUUCGUCAACAGUAAGAACCAUCACAUAGAAAAAUGCAGUAAAAUGUACCCCCAAACCGUGAGUUUUUUGCUUCAAAUUGCACAUGCGUCAGGACGUGUUUUUGAGUGAGUGUGGGCGACGCUGGAUCCUCUCUCUGGCUGCCAUCGAACAGCAAAAGUGAAGUGAUGAUCUGUGUCCAUUUUGCGUAUUAAACACCCACCCGAAUAACCAAAGGUGGCAGAGUCUGUGGACACAAUUUGCCCUAUCUUCAGUUCCUCUUGUCUGUCCUCCACAAGCAGAGACUCACUGAUAGACCACUGUUACCAGUUCUAGUGUUUACACAUCCACCCACGUCCCCACCACAAGUGUAUCCUGUACAGACACAGAACAUUGAGGGAAAAAAAGAGAUGCUGUUGUCUGCUGCCUCAUUAACUACCUCGGUGAAAGACAAGAAGAUCUUUUUCAUGACUGCCAGUAGGAAUGUGAGGACUACACAGACAGAACAAAGAAGGUGAUUGUGAAGCACAAUGUCAUGGCUGAGGAGGAUCCAUCAGAUUUGUCUAUUGUGAUCCAGAGAAAACUAAGUGAUGGAAGGAUGUGGAAGCCGAACAAAGGCAUGCAUACUGCUGAUGGGACUCAUUUAUGCAAUCAACAUCGAAUAUCCAAAGGAGCUGAAGAACACGUUUGAAGCUUUUCAAAAACUUUUUUUUGGAAAUUGAUGGAGAAAAACUACUGAAAAAGGUCCACAGCCUCAAAAAUAAGCUCAUGCAGUAGACACACAUUUUCCCUCUUGUUCGAAGAGGAUCUUUUGUCUGGACAUACUUUUAAUGGAGUUGUAAUGGAGUGUAGUUUUAUAUUUUUCUUAUUUUCCCUUAUUUGCUCCACACACAGACACAAAUCCAUCCAGCCCACUCCAUUACUCUGUGAUUUCCCCCAGAUUGACAGAAAAGGAAUACCAAUGCAAAGUUAUAAAACAGGGGCCAUUACUUGAAAUUGUGGUGUAAAGCUGUUGUGCUGCACUAUAUUUUGAGUGUUUCACAGGAUUUUUUGGAUUAAAAAUAUUGAUCUGAUGAGCCAUCUAAAUGUCUUUAUUGUGGGGGGUACAUUUUACCUUUUCUGAAUAAAUAAUUGUUAUUAACUAUUAACUGAUUUGAAGAGAUAAUUUUUACCUAAUUUUAAUGAGUAAGUAGCUGUUGAAUAUAUACAUAAAUGUGAGGUAUUGUUACCCAAUUUAUGCAAGUAUUUAAUAGCUUUUUACUUGAGAUAGCUUAUACUCAAUAUAUGGGAUUAAAUCUACCCCACCAAAGUCGAUGCAAAUUGUUACCUCACAU